Molecule: long non-coding RNA, 898 nt
Organism: Mus musculus (house mouse)
Lineage: Eukaryota; Metazoa; Chordata; Mammalia; Rodentia; Muridae
Product: predicted gene, 34371
Exons: 3
Source: RefSeq, marked validated
GUUGAGCCCAUUAAUGCACAUUGAGAGCCAUGGUAGACUAGAUGGUGCUGGGAGCUGAGACAGCAAAAAUUAAGAAGAUUCAGUCCUGAAUCUUCUAUCAGCUCUUAGUGAUAACAUUUUCAGCACACAGUGAUGACGAAGGUCAUUCAGAGGCUGUGUGAGAGCACACUGACCAUCGGCCGUAGCUACAGACCACACGAGUAACUAAGCCCCACAUCUAUUUUUCCUGUAACAAACACCUUGUCCCUUUCUUCUUAAUCCCGUUGGAAACCAUUUCGAAUGGCCUGUGAAACUCCACCACACUGCUGGAGGGGAGGCAACUAAUCAGUCGGAACCAGAAUUGGAGAUGGGAAAGGACCAACAAUUGAACUGGAUUUGAAUCCAUCAAUGUCUGCCUUAUGACUGAUGCUGCCAGUGUUUUCCUAUUAGGACAGGCUCAAACUGAUAAAGGGACAGACCAGUCCUAUCAAAUUAUACUGAUAAAAAAUAAUUCACAUGGUAAAAUUAUGACGGUGGCAAUCAUAAGUGCCUCCCAAGUAGCUGCAAUGUGGAUGGACUUCCAGCUAGAGAACUUCAAAAAUGUAUUACUGUGUCAGAGAAGUCCAAUUAACGGCUGAAAGAUUCAUUUGUAAACAGAAAAAUCUGCAUUUGGGCUACCAAGACGGCUCAGCACAAGAAGAUCCCUGCUGCUGAAUCUGACAGAGAAGUUCUUGAGUUUGGUCCCCAAGUCCCAUAUGGUGGCAAAAAGAGAAUAGGCUCCUGCAAUUGUCCUCUGACCUCCAUACUUGCACCAUGGCAUGUGCUCUCACGGGUGACACACAUCACACACACACACACACACACACACACCAAAUAGAAUGAAAACCUUAAAAAAUAAAUAAAUAAAACUUCCGUUCAA